RNAcentral lists this ribosomal RNA (781 nucleotides) under uncultured Lactobacillus sp. RNAcentral describes it as "bacterial SSU rRNA". It matches the Rfam family "Bacterial small subunit ribosomal RNA", at positions 28 to 776 of the family's 1533-position model. Lineage: Bacteria; Bacillati; Bacillota; Bacilli; Lactobacillales; Lactobacillaceae. The record is from RNAcentral.
GACGAACGCUGGCGGCGUGCCUAAUACAUGCAAGUCGAGCGAACAGAAGCAGCAGAAUUACUUCGGUAAGGACGCUGUGGAAGUUAGCGGCGGACGGGUGAGUAACACGUGGGUAACCUACCCUUAAGACUGGGAUACCACUUGGAAACAGGUGCUAAUACCGGAUAGGAGUAUGAGCUGCAUGGCUUAUACUUUAAAGGCGGCGAAAGCUGUCACUAAAGGAUGGACCCGCGGUGCAUUAGCUAGUUGGUAAGGUAACGGCUUACCAAGGCGACGAUGCAUAGCCGAGUUGAGAGACUGAUCGGCCACAUUGGGACUGAGACACGGCCCAAACUCCUACGGGAGGCAGCAGUAGGGAAUCUUCCACAAUGGACGCAAGUCUGAUGGAGCAACGCCGCGUGAGUGAAGAAGGUUUUCGGAUCGUAAAGCUCUGUUGUUGGUGAAGAAGGAUAUAGGUAGUAACUGGCCUAUAUUUGACGGUAAUCAACCAGAAAGUCACGGCUAACUACGUGCCAGCAGCCGCGGUAAUACGUAGGUGGCAAGCGUUGUCCGGAUUUAUUGGGCGUAAAGCGAGCGCAGGCGGAGAAAUAAGUCUGAUGUGAAAGCCCACGGCUCAACCGUGGAACUGCAUCGGAAACUGUUUUUCUUGAGUGCAGAAGAGGAGAGUGGAACUCCAUGUGUAGCGGUGGAAUGCGUAGAUAUAUGGAAGAACACCAGUGGCGAAGGCGGCUCUCUGGUCUGCAACUGACGCUGAGGCUCGAAAGCAUGGGUAGCGAACAGG